GUGGAACCCAACAAAAUGUUUCGUCAGGAUGACUCAAGAGAUUUCCCUGUUCUUGCUGAAGCAGAUAGCCAGAGCCAGCAGCAUGAUAGAUCCCAGCCAGAUAGAUCCCAAACAGGAUGCAGGCAUCUGACUUCGGCAUGGAAGGAAAUAGCUGAAACCAGGGCAAUGGAAGCUUACAGGUUUACAAGCCGUGCCCCACCUACCAGCACGCACUCGGCUGAUGAACGUCCCUUGGGCCUGUUUGUAAUUCACGCAGUGACAGAGAGUGGGAAGGCUGUGAAACUGCUGGCUGGGCUUGAUAACUAUCGGUUGCAGCGUGAACCACCUCGAUGUUGGGUCAGGGACUGUACCGAGCAGGCCUGCUCAACAAAUCAUGCUUCUGGAAGGCAUCUGUCGCAACAGAAUUUCCCAGCUGAGGAAGAUUGCUUGAGCUCCUCGAUUAGAGAGGAAUUUUUUUCAAUGGAUGAAGGCUGUGAUGACUCUGGGACAGCCAGCACCCAGGCAGAUGUUACCAGUGAUGAUGCUAUCACAAGUUUUGCAAAGGAGUAUUCACUAGUUCCCUCAAAUAAGCAAAAGAGUUGUUCUGCUCAGAAUUUUGACCAGCUAGUAGAAAGCUAUUUUGAAGGGAUCUGAGCUUCAGCACAUCUGUUUGUAAUUUGGGAUCCAAAUCUGUUGGAGAUGCAAAUGACAGUCUUCAUGUACACAGUUUAUAGCAACAUAGGCUAAACCCUGCAUUAAAACCGUGAAGGUUCAAAUAGGGUAAAGCCCAGUAUAUUUCUCUUAGAUUGGCAGCCAGCUAAAAAGACAAAAACUGGAAUGAAAAUAGAUCCUUCAUAUCAGUUGCUGCCUUCUUGGGGAGUUUAGAAACCUGUAAUAAUCAUAAGGCAUUAAAAAUGGGAAAAUGACUUUGAGUCUAAGCUAAUGUAAUGACUAUUUCUUUUGCAAUUGUGAGGGAAAUACCAAGAAAUAUGGUUGUAUUUUGUCUCUUUCUCAGCAGUAGAGUCUCAUUUUAAUAACUUCUUGAAGAAUAUUUGAAAUUCAAAGCCCUUGUAUAUGCCAGUAUUUCCUUUCACUAAGUGCUUUAAUUUACUCUAUAGAGGCCUAGAGGGUUUAGUGUUUGUUUUUGUUUUUUUAUUUUUAUUGGUCUACAUCUUAAAAAUUCUAAUCCAAUGCAUAUAUUUUGUUAUUGUACAUAGCUGUUUAUAUAUGAAUAAUGUGAAACAACUAGGGCACAUCCUACUUAAAAAUGGGGGGGGAGUAACAAACAGACCCACUAGCUGGGGUUAAUUGUUCAUGUGAAAUGAAUAAUAUCCUUGUAAUAAACAUUUAUUUUUCUGUUGUGUUUGUGAGAUA
Molecule: long non-coding RNA, 1353 nt
Filed under: Anser brachyrhynchus (Pink-footed goose)
Lineage: Eukaryota; Metazoa; Chordata; Aves; Anseriformes; Anatidae
Description: lncRNA (ENSABRG00000015954.1)
Source: RNAcentral